This 31-nucleotide non-coding RNA is filed under the name Callithrix jacchus (white-tufted-ear marmoset). The record is from RNAcentral. RNAcentral also lists the same sequence under 1 other name. Lineage: Eukaryota; Metazoa; Chordata; Mammalia; Primates; Cebidae.
UGGACUGUCCCGCCAUUUGGGCUGUGGAAUC